This is a non-coding RNA of Gekko japonicus, 72 nucleotides long. The record is from the annotation of a RefSeq genome assembly. NCBI's taxonomy places the organism in Eukaryota, Metazoa, Chordata, Lepidosauria, Squamata, Gekkonidae.
GGGGCUGUGGCUCAGUGGUAGAGCACCUGCUUGAAAAGCUGAAGGUCCCAGGUUCAAUCCCUGGCAUCUCCA